Molecule: unclassified non-coding RNA, 271 nt
Filed under: Ascomycota sp.
Lineage: Eukaryota; Fungi; Ascomycota
Description: partial contains small subunit ribosomal RNA, internal transcribed spacer 1, and 5.8S ribosomal RNA
Rfam family: Eukaryotic small subunit ribosomal RNA (bases 1-47)
Source: RNAcentral
AAAGUCGUAACAAGGUUUCCGUAGGUGAACCUGCGGAAGGAUCAUUACCAAAUAAACCGGCCGAAAGGCCUUGCCCAACGGGGAGGGGAAACCCAACCCGGAACGGUAAACCCUUUGUGAAAACCCCCUUGUUUGCCUCGGCGGCACCCUUUCGAGGGGUCAGCCCGCCGACGGCACAUCAGAAACCCCUUUUUUUUUUUGAAUUGAAGAAUUAGUCUGAAUCAAUGGUCGAAUGACUAUAAAACUUUCAACAACGGAUCUCUUGGUUCCC